GCGAACGCUGGCGGCAGGCUUAACACAUGCAAGUCGAGCGCCCCGCAAGGGGAGCGGCAGACGGGAGAGUAACACGUGGGAACAUACCUUUUGGUUCGGAACAACUGAGGGAAACUUCAGCUAAUACCGGAUAAGCCCUUACGGGGAAAGAUUUAUCGCCGAAAGAUUGGCCCGCGUCUGAUUAGCUAGUUGGUGAGGUAACGGCUCACCAAGGCGACGAUCAGUAGCUGGUCUGAGAGGAUGAUCAGCCUCACUGGGACUGAGACACGGCCCAGACUCCUACGGGAGGCAGCAGUGGGGAAUAUUGGACAAUGGGGGCAACCCUGAUCCAGCCAUGCCGCGUGAGUGAUGAAGGCCUUAGGGUUGUAAAGCUCUUUUGCCCGGGAAGAUAAUGACGGUACCGGGAGAAUAAGCCCCGGCUAACUUCGUG
Molecule: ribosomal RNA, 430 nt
Filed under: uncultured bacterium
Lineage: Bacteria
Description: partial 16S ribosomal RNA
Rfam family: Bacterial small subunit ribosomal RNA
Source: RNAcentral